GUGCAGCAGGCGCGAAAUCUCCGCAAUACACGAAAGUGUGACGGGGCCAUCCCGAGUGCCGUCCGCUGAGGACGGCUUUCCCCAGUGUACAUAGCUGGGGGAAUAAGGAGAGGGCAAGCCUGGUGUCAGCCGCCGCGGUAAUACCAGCUCUCCGAGUGGUGGGGACGCUUAUUGGGCCUAAAGCAUCCGUAGCCGGCUGGGCAAGUCCUCCGUUAAAUCCAACGAUUCAAUCGUUGGGCUGCGGGGGAUACUGUCCAGCUUGGGGGCGGGAGAGGCCGACGGUAUUCCCGGGGUAGGGGUGAAAUCCUAUAAUCCCGGGAGGACCACCAGUGGCGAAGGCUGUCGGCUAGAACGCGCCGACGGUGAGGGAUGAAAGCU
This 378-nucleotide ribosomal RNA is filed under the name uncultured microorganism. RNAcentral describes it as "bacterial SSU rRNA". It matches the Rfam family "Archaeal small subunit ribosomal RNA", at positions 330 to 712 of the family's 1478-position model. The record is from RNAcentral.